This 72-nucleotide transfer RNA is filed under the name Bos taurus (domestic cattle). It matches the Rfam family "tRNA". From Rfam's summary of the family: Transfer RNA (tRNA) molecules are approximately 80 nucleotides in length. RNAcentral also lists the same sequence under 4 other names. Lineage: Eukaryota; Metazoa; Chordata; Mammalia; Artiodactyla; Bovidae. The record is from Rfam by way of RNAcentral.
UCCAAGAUGCUCCAGUGGAUAAGACUCUGUGCUCCCAAUGCAGGGGCCCAGGUUCAAUCCCUGGUCAGGGAA